This 497-nucleotide ribosomal RNA is filed under the name uncultured bacterium. RNAcentral describes it as "partial 16S ribosomal RNA". It matches the Rfam family "Bacterial small subunit ribosomal RNA", at positions 28 to 507 of the family's 1533-position model. The record is from RNAcentral.
GACGAACGCUGGCGGCGUGCCUAAUACAUGCAAGUUGAGCGCUGAGGGUCGGUACUUGUACCAACUGGGUGAGCAGCGAACGGGUGAGUAACGCGUGGGGAAUCUGCCUGUGAGCGGGGGACAACAUGUGGAAACGAAUGCUAAUACCGCAUAAAAACUUUAAACACAAGUGUGAAGUUUGAAAGAUGCAAUUGCCUCAUUCAAAGAUGAUCCCGCGUUGUAUUAGCUAGUUGGUGAGGUAAAGGCGCACCAAGGCGAUGAUACAUAGCCGAACUGAGAGGGUGAUCGGCCGGAUUGGGAGUGUGACACGGCCCAAACUGCCUCGGAAGCCACCAGUAGGGCAACUUGGGCAAUGGACGAAAGUCUGAGCGAGAAGCGCGGCGUGAGUGAAGAGCGUCUUCGGAUCGUAAAACUCGGUUGGUAGAGAAGAACGUUGGUGCGAGUGGAACGCUCAGCAAGUGACGGUAACUACCCAGAAAGGGACGGCUAACUACGUG